GAUGAAGAACGCAGCGAAAUGCGAUAAGUAAUGUGAAUUGCAGAAUUCAGUGAAUCAUCGAAUCUUUGAACGCACAUUGCGCCCCCUGGUAUUCCGGGGGGCAUGCCUGUCCGAGCGUCAUUACAACCCUCAAGCUCAGCUUGGUGUUGGGCCCCGCCGCCCCGGCGGGCCCUCAAGUCAGUGGCGGUGCCGUCCGGCUCCGAGCGUAGUAAUUCUUCUCGCUCUGGAGGUCCGGUCGUGUGCUCGCCAGCAACCCCCAAUUUUUUUCAGGUUGACCUCGGAUCAGGUAGGGAUACCCGCUGAACUUAAGCAUAUCAAUAAGCGGAGGA
RNAcentral lists this unclassified non-coding RNA (329 nucleotides) under soil metagenome. RNAcentral's name for it is "partial contains 5.8S ribosomal RNA, internal transcribed spacer 2, and large subunit ribosomal RNA". The stretch from base 1 to 120 matches the Rfam family "5.8S ribosomal RNA", at positions 35 to 154 of the family's 154-position model. The record is from RNAcentral.